Molecule: long non-coding RNA, 3000 nt
Organism: Leopardus geoffroyi (Geoffroy's cat)
Lineage: Eukaryota; Metazoa; Chordata; Mammalia; Carnivora; Felidae
Exons: 5
Source: RefSeq, a predicted model, not a curated record
CCUCAGCGUGGUCCCAGAGAGAAGGGGCGGGGCCUUAAUCACGCCAGCGAGGAGGCGACCAAUGGUGGCUGAGUUGGGCGGGCUCCGGAAGUCUGGGGCUCAGGCUUCACCCCGCGGCUGGAAAAGAAGGGGAAGGGUACUGUGUCUGAGCAGCAUCAGCUUGGGAGUCAGAAGGGAAGUGAUAUGUGUGUCUUGUGAUAGGCUGGCCAAGGACCAAGAGGAAGGAGAGCUAAAAUGAGAAGCCAUAAGAAUUUGGAAGGUGCCUCGUCAGAAGACACAAACACAAGCCAGACCCAGGAAGAUUGGAAGGGAGGGUGUGCAAGGCAGAAAGAUACACCAGCACCUGCCAUGAUGCAUCUUGGCUGAGAAAUUUGAGCCAGGAACCUCCCCUUCCCACAGGCUACCCACUCCAACCCACAGUGGAAGGAGACCCUAAGCUUAUUUCAACCUCCAUUCUGGGACAUACAGUUACCUGCAUGGGGGAUAGGACUUCCCCUACAAAGCAGAUUCAAAGAUAAAAUUAAGAAGUUCAAGAUGACAAGUGCAGAGCAUUAAACUCCAAGCAAGAGGCCCUUCUGAGCAUUGGACCCUGUGUGAUUGCCUUGAUCUUAUACUUGGUUGGACUGUGGUGAGGGAGCCAGCAGCCCUUUGCUAGUUUAUCAUGUUGCUGGAAACCAGAAACAGCAGUGAGAAUGGACUUUAAAAUCAGCCUCCUCUUGAAGACUCUUAAAUAUGGAGAACAAACAGGGUUACUGGAGGGGUUGUGGGAGGGGGGUGGGCUAAAUGGGGAAGGGGCAUUAAGGAAUCUACUCCUGAAGUCAUUGUUGCACUAUAUGCUAACUAAUUUGAAUGUAAAUUUAAAAAAUAAAAUUAAAAAAAAACCAGCCUCUUGAUAACCAUGUGACCUCAGGCUAGUUAUUUAAGUUUGGACAUCUGUGAAAUAUGGCUGAUAAUUGGUUGCUUCCGAGGGUUAUUGUGGGUUGGCACAGCACUGGCACAUAGUAUCAGUUAAUCAUAUGAGCUAUUGUUAUUAUGACAGGGUGUAGGCCAUCAUCAGUGGGGAGCUGAGGCUGGUGGUUAGAAUUGUGGAUUUGAAUGUCACAUCCCUGUGGUAAUGAAGAGUGAGGAAUUAAGAUGGUGUAGGGAGGGGUCCUGGCAUUUAAGGGUUAGUGGACAAAGAAAGAAAAGGAGAGGGAGAGGGAGGGUGUAUCUCAGGAAGAGAUAGGGCCACAGAGCCAGGGGAAAGGAAAGUCUCAAGAAAAGGAAGGGGGUCAUCUGCAGAACCAGAGGCUCUGGAGAAAACAAAUUUUUGUUUUUAAUUUUUUUUUUAGCAGUCAGAUACUCCUUGGUGAAUUUAGAUCAGUUUUAGUGGAGAGGAGGGGACAGAAGCCAGAUUAUAGCCAGUUGGGAAAGAAAGAGGAAGUAAAGAAGUAGAGACAUGUAUAGACCUUUCUUCCCAAAUAUUUGGCUGUGAAAAGAAGGAAAGAGAUUAAGGUGAUGGCUGGGAGAAGUGUCCAGUCAGAAGAAACACAAGUGGGUUUGUUUCUUGUAGGUAGAGAGCCAACUCCAUCUCUCCCAUCUCUUUCCCCUUCCUUCUUCCCUUCUCCUUCACCCUUCCUCUUCCUUCCUUCUAGUUCUCUUCUCUAAGCUUAACUUUGGAUCAUUCUGCAAAUGAAGCAGGUGACUAGGAAGCUCUGGGAGAGAGAGUGCAGCCAACUUGAGGAGGGCAGGGUGAACAGGGAACAGCACUUGCCCUGAGGAGCAGAGCAAUGGGGUCCCAAGCCCAGGUGUGCCUUGGAUCCUUGCCCGUUGUUGCAGGUGGGGAGGAUCCGUAUCAGUGUAAGUAGGUUUGCGAUGGGGAGAAAUUGGGUAGGGGAGGAAAGUAAUCAGGGUUUCUGCCAAUGUAUUUAGUUUGGUUUAUUAAGAACCUCAGGAGUCUUGAAAUGGGCAUCUUCAUCUUUCCCAGAGACGGGUAAUAUUCUCUUCUCACAGAGCUCUGCACAAGACUGGGAUAAAGUGAUGUGUGUGGAAGGCCCUUGUGAGCUGUGAGCUGUGCAUUGCUGGCAGAGGAAAGGCAUUCACUGAAAAUAUCUAAUUUUGCCUGGUUAUUGGCUCAGAUGAUGCCAGGACUCCAUUACACAGUGAUGACCCCUGGGAGGACGCAGGCACAGGGUCCAUGGUGUGACCCAUCCUUUUUGGAGUGAUUUUAUUUUAAGUAUCAGCAGACUAUUAUGAGGUUCCCCCUGAUUACUUAGAAAUGAGGGAAUCAGACUGCCUCCUACAGUCCAAUACUGAAAUGAACACACAUUGAAGUGCAGCUGGAGGGGGCUGCGUAGAUCCCAGCCUCAAAACCUUUCACGCCCACCAGAUGUCUUCACAGGUUGACUCGUGACAGGUAUUUUGGGCCCAGAUGCUAUUUGUGGAGAUAACAUCUCUACCACUUGGGUCUCUUAGAUUCUGUUUUCAGCUACUUGUUGUAUUUGUGUGUGGGGGGGAGAUGCAUAUGUGUGUGUGUAUGCAUCUGUGCAGAUGUGCACAUGUAUUUAGGGGGUGGGAUCUAUCUGCUAUAUGCAGAAGUGCCAAAAAGAAAGAAUGGUAGGUGGAGGGUGUAGAGCAUUCUUGAUCUUCUAAUAUUCUGAUUGAAAAUACCCAUAAAGCUGAGAACAAAAGGCAUUAAGAGCCCUCGAUUUCUAAAGGGAGUAGCUAGACCAGUUAUGCAGAACAUGCCAAAUGGGGAUCAAAAAAUCUGGUUCCAUUGCUGCUUUGGGAGUAUAAAGAGGCAUUAAAUGAUGGAGAGAGAGUGACCAAGAGCAGGAAUCCCUGCCCACACAUACCUCAAAGGAAGGGCAGGAGGCUCCCUGAGAACCACUGAGAGAAUGUGGUAUCACCUUGAGUUCAGAGGGCAAUCUGGAACAGAUGCCUAUUCCUUCCUAAAACUGAAAGCAAGAGGUCGUCUAGGGGCGCCUGGGUGGCUCAGUUGAUUAAGCAUCUGACUCUUGA